Molecule: microRNA, 22 nt
Filed under: Eisenia fetida (common brandling worm)
Lineage: Eukaryota; Metazoa; Annelida; Clitellata; Crassiclitellata; Lumbricidae
Description: Efe-Mir-8-P4_5p* (star (passenger))
Source: RNAcentral
CGUCUUACCUGGUAGUCUUAGG